Molecule: ribosomal RNA, 464 nt
Filed under: Vreelandella stevensii
Lineage: Bacteria; Pseudomonadati; Pseudomonadota; Gammaproteobacteria; Oceanospirillales; Halomonadaceae
Description: partial 16S ribosomal RNA
Rfam family: Bacterial small subunit ribosomal RNA
Source: RNAcentral
CCUACGGGUGGCAGCAGUGGGGAAUAUUGGACAAUGGGGGCAACCCUGAUCCAGCCAUGCCGCGUGUGUGAAGAAGGCCCUCGGGUUGUAAAGCACUUUCAGUGAGGAAGAACGCCUGGUGGUUAAUACCCAUCAGGAAAGACAUCACUCACAGAAGAAGCACCGGCUAACUCCGUGCCAGCAGCCGCGGUAAUACGGAGGGUGCGAGCGUUAAUCGGAAUUACUGGGCGUAAAGCGCGCGUAGGUGGCUUGAUAAGCCGGUUGUGAAAGCCCCGGGCUCAACCUGGGAACGGCAUCCGGAACUGUCAAGCUAGAGUGCAGGAGAGGAAGGUAGAAUUCCCGGUGUAGCGGUGAAAUGCGUAGAGAUCGGGAGGAAUACCAGUGGCGAAGGCGGCCUUCGGGACUGACACUGACACUGAGGUGCGAAAGCGUGGGUAGCAAACAGGAUUAAUACCCGAGUAGUC